UACGGAGGGUGCAAGCGUUAUCCGGAUUUACUGGGUUUAAAGGGUGCGUAGGCGGAUUUGUAAGUCCGAGGUGAAAUCUCCGAGCUUAACUCGGAAACUGCCUUGGAUACUAUAAGUCUUGAAUGACGUUGAGGUUAGCGGAAUAUGUCAUGUAGCGGUGAAAUGCGUAGAUAUGACGUAGAACAUCUAUGGCGAAGGCAGCUAACUAAGAGAAUACUGACGCUGAUGCACGAAAGCGUGGGGAGCAAACAGG
This 253-nucleotide ribosomal RNA is filed under the name uncultured bacterium. Its description in RNAcentral is "partial 16S ribosomal RNA". It matches the Rfam family "Bacterial small subunit ribosomal RNA", at positions 524 to 776 of the family's 1533-position model. The record is from RNAcentral.